CUUCGGUGAUGAUACGAUGACGAGUCGGACACGGACCUUCUGUUCCCUGUGGAGUCUGGCUUAGUGUCACGUUCUGUGCUGCUUGGUUAAGGCCACGGGGGCAAGGGUCCUAUUCAGUUGAAGACAUUGAGGCAUUUGUCUGAGAAGG
Small nucleolar RNA from Engraulis encrasicolus (European anchovy), 148 nucleotides. Lineage: Eukaryota; Metazoa; Chordata; Actinopteri; Clupeiformes; Engraulidae. The record is from RefSeq and is a predicted model, not a curated record.